AGAGUUUGAUCCUGGCUCAGGACGAACGCUGGCGGCACGCUUAACACAUGCAAGUCGAACGGACUUGAGAGGGCUUGCUCUCUUAAGUUAGUGGCGGACGGGUGAGUAACACGUGAGCAACCUGCCUUUAAGAGUGGGAUAACGGUCGGAAACGACCGCUAAUACCGCAUAACAUACACGAACCGCAUGGUUUGUGUAUCAAAGAUUUAUCGCUUAAAGAUGGGCUCGCGUCUGAUUAGCUUGUUGGUGAGGUAACGGCUCACCAAGGCGACGAUCAGUAGCCGUACUGAGAGGUAGAACGGCCACAUUGGGACUGAGACACGGCCCAGACUCCUACGGGAGGCAGCAGUGGGGAAUAUUGCACAAUGGAGGAAACUCUGAUGCAGCGAUGCCGCGUGAGGGAAGAAGGUUUUCGGAUUGUAAACCUCUGUCUUAAGGGACGAUAAUGACGGUACCUUAGGAGGAAGCUCCGGCUAACUACGUG
This 484-nucleotide ribosomal RNA is filed under the name uncultured Oscillospiraceae bacterium. RNAcentral's name for it is "bacterial SSU rRNA". It matches the Rfam family "Bacterial small subunit ribosomal RNA", at positions 8 to 507 of the family's 1533-position model. Lineage: Bacteria; Bacillati; Bacillota; Clostridia; Eubacteriales; Oscillospiraceae. The record is from RNAcentral.